This is a long non-coding RNA of Oncorhynchus tshawytscha (Chinook salmon), 389 nucleotides long. Lineage: Eukaryota; Metazoa; Chordata; Actinopteri; Salmoniformes; Salmonidae. The record is from Ensembl.
GACUGAGUGGGAGAGAGAGAGAGAAAAACAAAACAAAAGUCUCCAAUACCUUGAGGUUCAUAAUGGAAAAUAUUUGACCUGGCCUCUUAAUUCAAGGAAUGAAAAGUCCCCGAGCCCAGAUGGCAGGAAGUAUGGAGUUUAAUCACUCCCAGAUAGACCUAACAAGACCAGUCGGAAUAGGUACUGCAGCCAAACAGACCUGGGUCUAACUAGGGGGGAUAGGUACUGCAGCCUUACAGACCUGGGUCUAACUAGGGGGGAUAGGUACUGCAGCCUAACAGACCUGGGUCUAACUAAGGGGGAUGGGUACUGCAGCCUAACAGACCUGGGUCUAACUAGGGGGGAUAGGUACUGCAGCCUAACAGACCUGGGUCUAACACAGACCUGGG